UCCAGGUGUGACCACUGCUGAAAACUUGUGC
This 31-nucleotide non-coding RNA is filed under the name Homo sapiens (human). The record is from RNAcentral. Lineage: Eukaryota; Metazoa; Chordata; Mammalia; Primates; Hominidae.